GGGGCUGAUUCUGGAUUCGACGGGAUUUGCGAAACCCAAGGUGCAUGCCGAGGGGCGGUUGGCCUCGUAAAAAGCCGCAAAAAAUAGUCGCAAACGACGAAAACUACGCUUUAGCAGCUUAAUAACCUGCUCUGAGCCCUCUCUCCCUAGCUUCCGCUCU
This 160-nucleotide transfer-messenger RNA is filed under the name Klebsiella pneumoniae. RNAcentral's name for it is "partial transfer-messenger RNA". It matches the Rfam family "transfer-messenger RNA", at positions 1 to 165 of the family's 374-position model. Rfam says of the family: Bacterial tmRNA, also known as 10Sa RNA or SsrA, is named for its dual tRNA and mRNA-like properties. Its role is to liberate the mRNA from a stalled ribosome. To accomplish this part of the tmRNA is used as a reading frame that ends in a translation stop signal. The record is from RNAcentral. Lineage: Bacteria; Pseudomonadati; Pseudomonadota; Gammaproteobacteria; Enterobacterales; Enterobacteriaceae.